RNAcentral lists this long non-coding RNA (1318 nucleotides) under Equus caballus (horse). RNAcentral describes it as "lncRNA (ENSECAG00000053120.1)". Lineage: Eukaryota; Metazoa; Chordata; Mammalia; Perissodactyla; Equidae. The record is from RNAcentral.
GGCAGCCCACUUCCUCUCUGCACACUCCCAAAGGAAGUCUUCCCAAGACUGAGCCCUGAAGAUCUAUGCUCAGCUACCGUUCACAGCUCCUUUCCUCUCCGUAUAGAACCAGCACCCAAUGGUUUUUUCCAGCCCUUGGAACAUUUUUGCAACCCUUAGAAAGCUCUUGGAAAAAACGCCUUUGAUGGUGGUGACUGAGGGGAACAAAGUGCCCCAAAGAGCAACUGCAAGGGCCGGAUGGGGCAGUAGCUCCCUCAGUGAGAGGGGACAGUACUGGGCAGUUGCUCUCUCAGUGAAGAGCCAAGAGGAAGAGGAGCCCAAAGACCAGCGCACUCCUCAUCGGUACCCUUUUGCCAGUGACUCUCCCCUUUCCCAUCCAACAAGGUGGAGUCUUUGUCCUUCAAGAGGCCCAGAGCUCAGGAGGAACCUGCUUCUAUGAGAUGGAUUUUCUCCACGGCCUGAAAGGCAAGAGGAUCAUAAAUGUGCCAAUGGAAUUCAGAUUUCCCAAGUUGUUCAACCACCACAAUAAAGCUAAAAGCAAAACUCCGCUGGAAGGGAGCGGAGACUUUAAUGCAGGAGGCUGCGCGGCAGUGAGAAGACGAAUCGGGCCUCUGACAGCCCCUCCUCUGCAAAUGGAUUUGGCUGCAGUGAGCUGGGCCCUUGCAGCACGGCAAGACUGAGCCCUGUGGCUGAGCUGGGUGGCUCACCCCUGGGAGGGCGUGGCCACACCCAGAAGAGAACACUGCUGAGCCCUGAGGGCAGCACCCAGCCACCAAGCACCAAGUUUUCUCAUAAGGCCCAUGGGCAGUUUAAACUCCAUCCUUGGGGCUGGCCCCAUGGCCAAGUGGUUAAGUUCGUGCGCUCCUGCUGCGGGUGGCCCAGGGUUUCGCCAGUUCGAAUCCUGGGCGCAGACAAGGCACCGCUUAUCAAGCCACGCUGAGGCAGCAUCCCACAUGCCAGAACUAGAAGGACCCACAACUAAAAAAAUACACAACUAUACGCUGGGGGGCUUUGGGGAGAAAAAGGAAAAAUAAAAUCUUAAAAAAAAAAAACAAAAAAACUCCAUCCUGGUCUUGCGACCAGUUCCAGAGUGGCUGGGACCCACGGUCCAUCUUGUAGGCAAGGUGAGGAGCUGGGCCCUGGCAGGUACAGAGGGAAGUGGCCAAUAUAGUGGUCACAGCUGGGCUUAGUGCGGAAUGCACGCCAGUCUGACUGGUCCCCCACUCACUCCUCCUCUGGCCCUUGGCUGGUGGCGUUGGGGAACUUGAUGCUGUGACACUCUCGUCCCCUCACCCCCGUUGUGGACAGCAGUGGGAAG